RNAcentral lists this transfer RNA (72 nucleotides) under Aedes aegypti (yellow fever mosquito). Its description in RNAcentral is "partial tRNA-OTHER". It matches the Rfam family "tRNA". Rfam says of the family: Transfer RNA (tRNA) molecules are approximately 80 nucleotides in length. Lineage: Eukaryota; Metazoa; Arthropoda; Insecta; Diptera; Culicidae. The record is from RNAcentral.
GGCUUGGUAGCUUCGAUGGCAAAGCGCUAGGCUAGCAUACAAGAGUCCUGGGUUCGAAUCUCAGCCGAGCAC